GAAGUAGGAGUGAAAGCUGCCCAGCUAGAUCCAGCGCGCGCCCGCCUCAUCCCUCUGGGUUCCUUAGCAGAUCUGAUGAAAAUUUCGGGCCUUCCCCUAACCUCUAGAACACUGCAGAAAGGCCCUCUAAUUUGUAUACAGUUUCAGGGAGGAUCUUGGGGCAGGUAGAAUGGCCCCAGGUUAUGGUCACAGCCUUACCCUAUCUGUACGGUGAGUCUUGUCAUCGGAAAAACAUCGAUUUCCCACGACCAAAGCGUGCUCAGGGAGAGGCGCAGUUGGGGCGCGCGGAUUUACUGAGAAUGGAGUCUUGAAGGGCUCGGCUGCUUGCGGAGGGCCAAUUGGGGACUUGGGAAGAAGCGCUAUAAGUAGGAGAAAGGCGCUCAGGGCCAAAGGCUUGUCCUUAGCUUGGACACGGCUCUGGCCCAAGACUCCAGAAUGCGAGCGCAAGGCUCCGAGGACACUCACAAACCACGGGGACAAGGUGGUGUCUGUCCAGAACGUGAACCUUAGGCUGCUCAAGCGGGACGGUGAGCCGUCGGGCUGCGCAGUCGGGAGGAGCGCGAGUGGAGUCAAACACAGGCCUAACACUGGAACCUUACAGCCCAUCAUCGAGCCCACACUCCCAGAGUCUGUGGCCUCCAGGCUAGGGCGAAGUAGUGCGGAGUCCGCACGGCGGUCCCGGAGUCUCGGAGCACUAGACACAGGCUUCCAAGCGCCGGCCGCCAGUAUCAGACCCCGGCCUCCGCGGCGCAAUCUCGCUUUGAGUUUCGAACCAGGGGCCACGCAAGGUUGUGAGAUUGUUCGCUUGGUUUCCGAAGAAAUGCCUCUUUACAAAUGUGGGGGGCUCUCAAGACCCAGGAACCUUUCGUACCCGCUGCCUCCCAACGACCCAACCGGGCUUCUGCCCCGACGGAUCUUCAGAUCAGGAUCAGUGGACUCUCUUCGGUCCCUCCUUACCACGGAUUUUGGCCAAUGUUACAAUUAUUGCCCUCAAAUAACCUAGCUUGGGGGCCCACCUUGCCUCUGAAGAUUUUUUUUUUGUGGGGGGAGUGGGAAAGGAUGCCUAUCGCUAAGGCGGUGACGUCUGGCAAACGAGCCACAUCCGAUUCAAUUAAACGUCUAGCUGAAAAGACCUCGGAGCGCGGGGGUCCUGGGAGCUCUGUUAAGUGAAUGGGCUGGCCGGGCGGCUCGCGAUGACAGUUUGAAAGAUUAGUGUGAGCCGACGCCUGAAAUAUUACCGUUUAAUGGGGGACAUCGAGGCUGCAUCCGGGAUCUCUGUUUGUAGUUGUGCCUUGGCGUUGCGGGAGAGCGGAAACCCGGCCAAAAACGGAUAAAUACGUGCAAAAUCGAAAUUGGGGCGACCUAUGCUGUUCCCGCAGAGAAAUGUCCAAGAGUAAUUUCUAACUUUUCUUUGCAGUCCUCACUGAACAAAGCUAAAGAGUGGAGAAAAAUUUGGCGGCCUACAUGACAGCUCCAGAGAGCAGAACCCCAGGACUGGAGUGGGGAGACACUGGCAUCCUGCUGUAUACCCAGAAUGUCUCUUGCAAGUACUGAAACACACGGUGGCAAUCAGCUAAAGAAAUCUGUUAACAGGCCUUAAAACCUUGAGAAAGGCAGAACUAGGAAGAGAGAAAAGUGAAAGGAAACUAAAAGAAAGACAAGACCUCAGGCGACAGAAAUGGAAAGGAACAAAGCAUGAUUUCUAGAACAGAAAACACGAGUUCAGACAGCAGAGGAGACUAGGACAAGAAGCUCCUGCUUUCCAGACUCUCUCCGAUGGGACAGCUUUCAGACAUGUGUGCACUGACCAGUGAAGACCUCUGGUUCGACAGAGAAAAAUGGAAGCUUCAGUCUCCAGCUGUUCCCCAAAGAACCGAAAGACUGUCUGCUUUGUACAGAGGUACCACCGCUGCAGCCUGUGACUCUGAGGUGCAAACUUGGCCAGCCCGGAGUGGUAAUUUUAGGGGGGAGUUUUAUUUUAAACCCCACACUGGCAGUUGGGUCAGAUUUUUAUGUGAUGAUUUUGUGUUCUGCAUAUGAGGAAGUACUGCUCAUUGGCUGCUAUGAAUUGCCCCAAACAUCUCUCUCCAGAAUAAACUUGUGCUUUGCAGCCGAAAUGAAACAUACUGGGGCCACACUCAGAACAGAAUGUCCAUGGCUUGGCGUGGUGGUCCGUGGUGAGCUGCUGACAUGAACCCUGGAGUGGGAACCGCCACACUGCAUAGCUGGAGCUCUCUAUGGAAGGCAGGAGCCUUCGGGACACGGAGCUUAAGGGCUGUGAUGAGUGGCAGGCUGUGAACAUUUUGGCGGGAUGCAAAUGCACUGGACUAUUUUUAAAGGAGGCACGUACUCUUGUGCAGCAUUUGAUGAGUGGUGGUGGCAGGCCAGUUUUGGCACAGAAAGGGAGGAAAAAUAGCCACAAUUCAGAUCUUCUAGCCAGAGCAGUUUAGAAUGUAUCUCCAUGGAAAAUGGAAAUUGUUUGGGAAUCUGCUCAGGAAACACAGGCAGGUAGGAAACCUGACCGCCGCUAUUGACUGAAGGACACUGGCUGUGUUGUCUGACCUUUCAGGAUGGCAGUGUCCUUUUUUGAUAAAAUGAGGAGGUUAGGCCAUUAGGGAAGCUUUCAGGGCCUUUCAGAUUUUUAAAUCUGGUGAGUCUCUGGGAAAGGUAAAUAGGAAUUUUCUGAGAUUGUUUUGCUCAGUGUAUUGGGCAAGGUUAGUCUGGUGCAAGUUAUGGAAACAUUCUGGGAACUUAUCAGUAGGACACUGAGUGCACUCACAGGAUCAAAAGAGAAGCUGAGUGCCUGAGUCACACAAAGGAGGGGAAGCAGGACAAUGCUGGGGGUGUGGGUAGUGGACCUGAAAUGUCGUCUCCUGGGGCUUUACUGACAAGUCUACCAAGUCUAACAUUUUUUGGUCUUGUAUGAUUCUACCGUAGCUUUAGAGUUCCUGGGUGAGAGAGGGUCUGAUUGACCUAUCUUGGGUCCAGUACCAACUCCUUGGCAAGGGAACACGGGAUGCCUGGAUUGACAGGCCCACCAAUGCUGUAUGCAAUGGGUGUGUGUGUGGUAGUGGGGCUGAGGGUGUGUGUAGGAGGUGGGAGGGAAGAAUAAUUUCCCAAAGGACAAGUGUGUUGUUAUCAAAAAGAAAAAAAAGAUAAAAAGGAGGCAUAGAUACUGCAUGCACUAAAAUAACAGAUUUUCAGUACUCAGACAUAAUGAAUAAAAGGGAGAAAGUUUGGACCAUCACAGUGUCUAUUUUUAAGGUCAUAAUGAGCACAGCUAUUAGUCUUCUCAGUGCAGUCCUAUCAAACGUUUGCUUAAAUGUUCUAGUCAGUUGAGUAGAGACGAGCAUUUCUACAUGUGGUCUGUGAUCUGGCCAGGAUUCUGGCUAUUUCAGCCACUUGUCCAGUCCAUUGAUGAGUAGAAUUGAAUGUACAGGAUUAAAUGAAGCUGAAAUGAGUGGAAUGAUGGUAUUAGGUCUGUCUUUUUUUUUUUCUCUCUCUCUUCCCAUUCAGCUUUGAUUUUGAGGAAUUAAAAAGUUUUACAAAACUACAAACAAUUUAACAAAGAUUCCUUGGUGGUUAUAAAAAAAGUCAUUUCACUAGAUUGGUUUCCCACAGU
Manis javanica (Malayan pangolin) is the source of this 3622-nucleotide long non-coding RNA. RefSeq lists it as uncharacterized. Lineage: Eukaryota; Metazoa; Chordata; Mammalia; Pholidota; Manidae. The record is from RefSeq and is a predicted model, not a curated record.